UGGGGAAUUUUGGACAAUGGGGGAAACCCUGAUCCAGCCAUCCCGCGUGUGCGAUGAAGGCCUUCGGGUUGUAAAGCACUUUUGGCAGGAAAGAAACGUCGCGGGUUAAUACCCCGCGAAACUGACGGUACCUGCAGAAUAAGCACCGGCUAACUACGUGCCAGCAGCCGCGGUAAUACGUAGGGUGCAAGCGUUAAUCGGAAUUACUGGGCGUAAAGCGUGCGCAGGCGGUUCGGAAAGAAAGAUGUGAAAUCCCAGAGCUUAACUUUGGAACUGCAUUUUUAACUACCGGGCUAGAGUGUGUCAGAGGGAGGUGGAAUUCCGCGUGUAGCAGUGAAAUGCGUAGAUAUGCGGAGGAACACCGAUGGCGAAGGCAGCCUCCUGGGAUAACACUGACGCUCAUGCACGAAAGCGUGGGGAGCAAACAGGAUUAGAUACCCUGGUAGUCCACGCCCUAAAACGAUGUCAACUAGCUGUUGGGGCCUUCGGGCCUUGGUAGCGCAGCUAACGCGUGAAGUUGACCGCCUGGGGAGUACGGUCGCAAGAUUAAAACUCAAAUGAAUUGACGGGGUCGAUGCUG
RNAcentral lists this ribosomal RNA (580 nucleotides) under uncultured bacterium. RNAcentral's name for it is "partial 16S ribosomal RNA". It matches the Rfam family "Bacterial small subunit ribosomal RNA", at positions 355 to 932 of the family's 1533-position model. The record is from RNAcentral.